Molecule: long non-coding RNA, 2724 nt
Organism: Pogoniulus pusillus (Red-fronted tinkerbird)
Lineage: Eukaryota; Metazoa; Chordata; Aves; Piciformes; Lybiidae
Exons: 4
Source: RefSeq, a predicted model, not a curated record
GCUGAGCAGUACGAGAGAAAGGAACUGGAGCCAGGAGCGUCCCAAGAGAAGGGAGAUGCUUCAGCACCAGCCUCGGUAGAGUUGGGGAAUGGACGCGAAGGUCUCCUCUGACCAAAACAAUUCUGCGACCCUUUUAUUGUACCCACAGCAGAGUGGCAGAAGCAGUUGCCGAGUUUAAAGAGACACCGAAACAGGCCCUUAAAAACAUUUUGUAAGGCCUCCUUUUCCCAUCCCGGUCUCCGUUUCUCAUCUGGAGCCUCCGGUAUUCGCUGGCAACCUCUCCCAGCCCCAAAGGCUCUUGAACUCGACCAGGAAAGCGCUGCCUUACAGGCACCAGGGAGCGGCUCCCCGCUGAGCCCAGAGGCAGCAGCAGGGAACCUGCGGCCGACGCCAAGCCGAGGAGGUGGAGGACGGGAUCCAGCACAGCCAUAGUUACAGGUGGAUCUCUCUGGGUAUGGAAGGGUCUGUCCCUAAUUCAUCAAAAUGAUUCCACCCUGCACAGAGAGCCCAUCAGCUAAUUACAGUGCCUGGUGAGGAAAAGCCUCCUGUUCCCACCGCAGAGCAGCAUUUCAGCUCCAGCUGCCCCAGUGCACCUAGGAACUGCAGCUACAACCAGGCAGUGAUUUGUUUCCUGCUGGAGCACCGUAAAAGACUCCCAAGCAAUGGAGGGAGAUAAAGGGCAGAGUGCUAAAGCCACCAGCGCAGUGGGAGACCUGAGGAAAAGCUGGCAGAGCUGGGCAGAGGAUCACAUUGAGUAUCAGAGGAAGAACCCUUUCAGCAGCAAUGACAGGCUGGCAUCAAAACCUGGGCAUACUCAUAGAGGAGAUCCCACCUACGGGAGGCCUCCUGAAGGCUCUCAGACUGAGCAGCGAGGGAAAGAUGCUCACUCACACGUGGGAAAGGAGGUGGAAGAGCUGUGCCUGAUCAUUAGAAGCACUGGACAGGUGGGAGAAGAUGGGCACGUGAGUGUGACCUUUGGGCAGCUGUUUGAAACAUAUGUGACUAUCUCCAACAAAGUAGUGGGAAUCCUGUUAAGAGCCAGGAAACAUGGGCUGGUUCAUUUUGAAGGUGAAAUGCUCUGGCAAGGAAAAGAUGAUGAUGUGGUCAUCACUUUACUACAAUAAGGCUUUGUUGCCUAAGGAAUUCUGCUGCACAGUUCCAUUUGGGGGGAAAAAAACCCUAUCUAGGUUUUCAUUACAGAAUUUCAACAGGGCAUGGGAGCAGGUGAGAAAAUGAGAAGCAUGAAAAAAAACAUUUUUGUAAAGCUGGCAGAGCUUUGGGCAGAAAUCACAAAUAAUGAACUAAUGCAGCCUGCUGCCACUGGAUUGUCCUUUACUAGCAUCUACCACCAAGCAUUCCACAGUUCUUCACUCCACUGGCUUCCUGCUGUAGGUUACUGACAGUAUCAAUAAUAAACUUGCUACCAUACAACACUGAUCCUUGCAGCUUAUGAAAUGUUUGCUGAGGAGGAAUUCUUACACCUCUUCCAAGAAAAAAAAAGAGCCUGGUAGGUAGCAAAAGUGUAGGUUUGAUUUUCACGUGGUGAAACUGAAUAAAUGGAAGUGAUUUUCAUGAAGCAUAUGAAAAUUCCCAGAUUUAUAGGAAUAGGACAGCAAAGAUAUUUGUUGGUACUAAAUUAGUUGUAUGUGGUGUGUAUUAUAGAGAGAUGCACUAGUCCUGGUAUUCAGUAGUCUGUUCUUAGCAAACCUGCAGUGUCUCUUGUUCUUUGUCCUGUCUCACAUCUGGUUUACUUGCUGUGUCAUACCCUAGAAGAGCACAAAGCUCUGCGGACUUUUGGUGCAUUCAGUGCUGUAUCCUUUGAUACCAAGGGAUGUGGGGUGCCACAAUGUGAAGAUGUGAAAGGCAACAGAAACUGUACCAGAGGGGCACUGCAGCCACAGAAUCAUAGGAUGGUUUAAUUUGGAAGGGACCUCAAAGCUCAGCCAGUUCUAGCCCCCCACCAUAGGCAGGGACACUAGAACAGGUUGCUCAAAGCCUCAUCUGACCUAGCCUUGAACACCUCCAGGGAGAGAGCAGUCACAACCUCCCUGGGCAACCUGUUCCAGUCAUGAGAGGGGAAAAAUAAGCUGCUUUCUGUUCUUUCACCAAGAGAAGGAGAGAAGAGCUCCUGUAGUGCUAAAUGCAGAAAUAAAGUCUAGUGGGGCAGUCCCAAACCUUAUUUAUCUGAGGCAGGGCUGGGCUGUGCUUUCAGAGCACACUUGUGAGUUCCUCAAGCCAGGAGUAAAAAUAAUCAGCCCAUUAAAAUUGAGAUCAAAAGAUGACCAGCAACAACUUCCUUCAGGGUUCUUGCAGGGGAAGACUGAUUAACAACAACACAAAGAAAGGCAGAAAAAGCACUGCUUAUAUACAACAGCUGUAGCAAUGCUCUUAAAAGAGAACCAAGACCUGCAUUUACAACAGUUCCCACCACAAAAACUGUAUAAUUAGAGCUAUAAAAGUCUAUUUUUCACUACUGCAAAUAAAAACUUAGAUGUGGUGUUAACUACAUUACUUGCAGGGUCUUUAAAGUAAGAUCCUCUCUUGCCUCAGAAGGAUAUGGAGAGAUUUAUCAGGUUGGUAAGUGAUAUUAAAAGUGGUAAAUUAUUUUAUGCUGUAUAUAAACCAGAAGUGUUUUGGCUAAAAGCCUAAAAGAAUGUUCUUUAGUUUUGACAUUUCUAUACAAUGUGCAUCACAGUGAGUCAAAUAAAAAUACAGAUUUUCUUA